This 41-nucleotide ribosomal RNA is filed under the name Dicrogaster contracta. Its description in RNAcentral is "partial 28S ribosomal RNA". The record is from RNAcentral. Lineage: Eukaryota; Metazoa; Platyhelminthes; Trematoda; Plagiorchiida; Haploporidae.
GCUGAACUUAAGCAUAUCACUAAGCGGAGGAAAAGAAACUA